CAUGCGAUGUACUUGUGUUCCGUUCCCAGUUGAGGUAUAUCGAAAAUAUUUGUAAAAAACAAAGGAUUUGUUCCAGUUUCAAAUGAGAGCGGAAUAGAAUGGCUUCCCAAAAGACAAGCGCAGUACACUAAAAAAAGUAAAGAAUAAUCGCCGACCUAUAUUAUUUUUCGUAGCAAAAUUUCAAUAGUUUGAAUAAAGCAUAUAGACUACCAAGAUAUGAUGACCUGGAACUAAACAGAAGUCGUUGU
Molecule: non-coding RNA, 248 nt
Organism: Paramuricea clavata
Lineage: Eukaryota; Metazoa; Cnidaria; Anthozoa; Malacalcyonacea; Plexauridae
Source: the annotation of a GenBank genome assembly